GGCGAGUCCCCGGGUACGCAAGGCUAAAACACGAGAAAGACAAAGCUCCUCCCCGGCAAGCUAGUCUUAAGCAAAGAAGCAAGUAAAAGUAGCAUUGGAUAUAUACCAAAGCUUGGACAAAACAAGUUGACGAGUAACACUGAUAAUGACAAAGGAAAGCUAACAUAAAAAGUUCUAAGGCGUCACGUGCCACUUGCGGGGAAAUAAAAAAAAAGAGCAGGAAGGGAACUACGCGGG
This 237-nucleotide long non-coding RNA is filed under the name Brachypodium distachyon (stiff brome). RNAcentral describes it as "long non-coding RNA (BDIS_LNC000205)". Lineage: Eukaryota; Viridiplantae; Streptophyta; Magnoliopsida; Poales; Poaceae. The record is from RNAcentral.